AAAGAAACUUACUCUCUCUGAUGUUGUCAAAGGUCCACUGGUCGCUCUUGAAGAAGGGAUGACAUUUGAUCUCCUCCACUCCGGUGCGGCCCAGACGAAUCUCCCUGCACACAGCAGGAAGUGCGAAGCAAUCAGACUGUGAGUACCUUCCACCAUCAUCAACAUGUCAUCACAGUCACUGCUGAGUGGACUGACCACUAGGAGUGAACCACACUGACCAGCGUGGAGAACCACAUGACCACUGGUGGACGUGCACCAGAACCACCUCUGAUAACAGAGGUCAGAUGGGCGCGGCAGCUUGGCCUUGCCACGUGUGGGACAUUCCAGACUCAAAAAACACAGCGGCGGGAAAGAGAGAAGAGGUCUUGCAUUGUGAGUAUGCAGAGCAGCGUGAUUCAUGAGGUAGAGUGGGUUGUCCAGUAACUGGAGGGAUGUUGUGUCCUUGGGCAAGACACUUCAUCCACUACGCCCCCAAGAUUCUCCUACACAGGGCUGCUUCACUGACCAAGAUGCUGGCCUAUGGCCUCCCUAACAGUGGCCGCCCACUGCUCCUCAAGAGGAUGGGUUAAAUGCAGGAGGAAGAUCUCACCAGCUGCACUUCUCCGUAAGCUCCUCUUCCGAUCAGCUUCACCUUUUCAAAGUCGUCCAGCUUGACCUGCAACUCGCGCAGCUGGCUCACCGCCUUUUCAACUGUGUGGAGAGAUGUGCGUGUUACCACGGCGACACGGAGGCCAAACUUCAAUCGUGUUGAAAGAGGAGGGUCAGCUGUUAACAACUUCAUCAGGGUCACGUGAGUCAGGCGUUCAUUACACUGGACUACAGUGAAUGGGAACUCUAGCAGCCAUACUUGAUCUUGUCGGAAAAAGUGGAAAGAUGAGUGCAAAUGGUCAGCCUGAUCAAUUUAGGCUCCUGGCACAAGAGAAAUCUAACAACUGUAUGUUCUAAUUGACACGGCAGCUCUUACAUCGGAUCAAAAAUGUUUCGAUGUUCUUGUUCUUCCGCAGAGCAGGAUAGUUCAAGUCGUGAGCCAAGGCAUUUAUGGAAUCCUGGAAGGGAAAACAAU
This is a long non-coding RNA of Dunckerocampus dactyliophorus (ringed pipefish), 1063 nucleotides long. RefSeq lists it as uncharacterized. The transcript has 4 exons. NCBI's taxonomy places the organism in Eukaryota, Metazoa, Chordata, Actinopteri, Syngnathiformes, Syngnathidae. The record is from RefSeq and is a predicted model, not a curated record.